GACGAACGCUGGCGGCGUGCCUAAUACAUGCAAGUAGAACGCUGAAGAGAGGAGCUUGCUCUUCUUGGAUGAGUUGCGAACGGGUGAGUAACGCGUAGGUAACCUGCCUUGUAGCGGGGGAUAACUAUUGGAAACGAUAGCUAAUACCGCAUAACAAUGGAUGACCCAUGUCAUUUAUUUGAAAGGGGCAAAUGCUCCACUACAAGAUGGACCUGCGUUGUAUUAGCUAGUAGGUGAGGUAACGGCUCACCUAGGCGACGAUACAUAGCCGACCUGAGAGGGUGAUCGGCCACACUGGGACUGAGACACGGCCCAGACUCCUACGGGAGGCAGCAGUAGGGAAUCUUCGGCAAUGGGGGCAACCCUGACCGAGCAACGCCGCGUGAGUGAAGAAGGUUUUCGGAUCGUAAAGCUCUGUUGUAAGUCAAGAACGAGUGUGAGAGUGGAAAGUUCACACUGUGACGGUAGCUUACCAGAAAGGGACGGCUAACUACGUGCCAGCAGCCGCGGUAACACGUAGGUCCCGAGCGUUGUCCGGAUUUAUUGGGCGUAAAGCGAGCGCAGGCGGUUUGAUAAGUCUGAAGUUAAAGGCUGUGGCUCAACCAUAGUUCGCUUUGGAAACUGUCAAACUUGAGUGCAGAAGGGGAGAGUGGAAUUCCAUGUGUAGCGGUGAAAUGCGUAGAUAUAUGGAGGAACACCGGUGGCGAAAGCGGCUCUCUGGUCUGUAACUGACGCUGAGGCUCGAAAGCGUGGGGAGCGAACAGGAUUAGAUACCCUGGUAGUCCACGCCGUAAACGAUGAGUGCUAGGUGUUGGAUCCUUUCCGGGAUUCAGUGCCGCAGCUAACGCAUUAAGCACUCCGCCUGGGGAGUACGACCGCAAGGUUGAAACUCAAAGGAAUUGACGGGGGCCCGCACAAGCGGUGGAGCAUGUGGUUUAAUUCGAAGCAACGCGAAGAACCUUACCAGGUCUUGACAUCCCGAUGCUAUUUCUAGAGAUAGAAAGUUACUUCGGUACAUCGGUGACAGGUGGUGCAUGGUUGUCGUCAGCUCGUGUCGUGAGAUGUUGGGUUAAGUCCCGCAACGAGCGCAACCCCUAUUGUUAGUUGCCAUCAUUCAGUUGGGCACUCUAGCGAGACUGCCGGUAAUAAACCGGAGGAAGGUGGGGAUGACGUCAAAUCAUCAUGCCCCUUAUGACCUGGGCUACACACGUGCUACAAUGGUUGGUACAACGAGUUGCGAGUCGGUGACGGCAAGCUAAUCUCUUAAAGCCAAUCUCAGUUCGGAUUGUAGGCUGCAACUCGCCUACAUGAAGUCGGAAUCGCUAGUAAUCGCGGAUCAGCACGCCGCGGUGAAUACGUUCCCGGGCCU
RNAcentral lists this ribosomal RNA (1369 nucleotides) under uncultured bacterium. Its description in RNAcentral is "bacterial SSU rRNA". It matches the Rfam family "Bacterial small subunit ribosomal RNA", at positions 28 to 1381 of the family's 1533-position model. The record is from RNAcentral.